RNAcentral lists this microRNA precursor (96 nucleotides) under Sorghum bicolor (sorghum). RNAcentral describes it as "miR167a stem-loop (sbi-MIR167a)". Its record names the gene sbi-MIR167a. The record is from miRBase by way of RNAcentral. Lineage: Eukaryota; Viridiplantae; Streptophyta; Magnoliopsida; Poales; Poaceae.
UGAAGCUGCCAGCAUGAUCUAGCUCUGAGUGAUCACCCGAGAAGAACAAUAGUUCGAGGUGGUCUCGCCUUGCUAGGUCAUGCUGCGGCAGCCUCA